UUCGCAAUGCCCGAAAGGGUGACGAAGCGACGCCGCGUGGGUGAGGAAGGCCUUCGGGUUGUAAAGCCCUGUCAGGAGUUAAGAAAUGUAAGUGUGCUAAUAUCGCAUUUACUUGACGAAGGCUCCAAAGGAAGUCACGGCUAACUCUGUGCCAGCAGCCGCGGUAAUACAGAGGUGGCAAGCGUUGUUCGGAAUUAUUGGGCGUAAAGAGCACGUAGGUGGGUUUGUAAGUCAGAUGUGAAAGCCUCCUGUUCAACGGGAGAAUUGCAUCUGAAACUACUGAUCUUGAGUAUAGGAGGGGAGAAUGGAACUUCUGGUGGAGCGGUGAAAUGCGUAGAUAUCAGAAGGAACGCCGGCGGCGAAAGCGAUUCUCUGGUCUAUUACUGACACUCAGUGUGCGAAAGCUAGGGGAGCAAACGGGAUUAGAUACCCCGGUAGUCCUAGCUGUAAACGAUGGGCACUAAGUAGAGGGGUUUU
RNAcentral lists this ribosomal RNA (477 nucleotides) under Candidatus Scalindua brodae. Its description in RNAcentral is "bacterial SSU rRNA". It matches the Rfam family "Bacterial small subunit ribosomal RNA", at positions 365 to 832 of the family's 1533-position model. RNAcentral also lists the same sequence under 2 other names. Lineage: Bacteria; Pseudomonadati; Planctomycetota; Candidatus Brocadiia; Candidatus Brocadiales; Candidatus Scalinduaceae. The record is from RNAcentral.